UGGGGAAUUUUGGACAAUGGGCGCAAGCCUGAUCCAGCCAUGCCGCGUGCGGGAAGAAGGCCUUCGGGUUGUAAACCGCUUUUGUCAGGGAAGAAAUCUUCUGAGUUAAUACCUCGGGAGGAUGACGGUACCUGAAGAAUAAGCACCGGCUAACUACGUGCCAGCAGCCGCGGUAAUACGUAGGGUGCAAGCGUUAAUCGGAAUUACUGGGCGUAAAGCGUGCGCAGGCGGUUUUGUAAGACAGAGGUGAAAUCCCCGGGCUCAACCUGGGAACUGCCUUUGUGACUGCAAGGCUUGAGUGCGGCAGAGGGGGAUGGAAUUCCGCGUGUAGCAGUGAAAUGCGUAGAUAUGCGGAGGAACACCGAUGGCGAAGGCGAUCCCCCUGGGCCUGCACUGACGCUCAUGCACGAAAGCGUGGGGAGCAAACAGGAUUAGAUCCCUGGUAGUCCACGCCCUAAACGAUGUCAACUGGUUGUUGGGAAGGUUCCUUCUCAGUAACGUAGCUAACGCGUGAAGUUGACCGCCUGGGGAGUACGGCCGCAAGGUUGAAACUUAAAGGAAUUGACGGGGUCAUAGC
RNAcentral lists this ribosomal RNA (577 nucleotides) under uncultured bacterium. RNAcentral's name for it is "partial 16S ribosomal RNA". It matches the Rfam family "Bacterial small subunit ribosomal RNA", at positions 355 to 925 of the family's 1533-position model. The record is from RNAcentral.